GGCAGGGUCAUCAUACACAGUGGUCCCUGUAUAUCCUAGUGGUGAUUUAAACCAAGUUUGAUUAAAUUUGACAGUUGUUUCAGGGGAGAAUUUUGUAAAAUUUAUCUAACGAGAAAUGCAAAGUAAUGAGAAAGUUGUGAAGUUGUUUUGUUGUUGCGCAACCCCCCCCCCGCUCCCCCUUUGCCAAAAAACCAAAAAAGGUAAUAAAAAAUUAAGGCAAUCUAUCCUAUUAAUGAUUUCUGCAAAAUUCAGUUGAUUGUGCAAGGGUUGUAUAGCCAGCUGAGGUCGUUAAAAACUCUCUUUUGUUGUUGCAGAUAGAUCUUGACCUGAUAAACAAUUUUACAACAUCUCAGAUUUGCUCUAAAUGCUUUGGUUUUUGAGUGAUAAGCCAAAAACUGCAUUUUAACCCUAUGUUCUAUUUUUAGCCAUAGCGGCCAUCUUGGUUAGUUGGCCAGGUCACCGGACACAAUUUUUAAACUAGAUACCCGAAUGAUGAUUGGUUUAAUUUGGCCCAUUAGUUUCAGAGGAGAAGAUUUUUGUAAAAGAUAAGUAAGAUUUACGAAAAAUGGUUAAAAAUUGACUAUAAAGGGCAAU
RNAcentral lists this long non-coding RNA (594 nucleotides) under Mytilus galloprovincialis (Mediterranean mussel). Lineage: Eukaryota; Metazoa; Mollusca; Bivalvia; Mytilida; Mytilidae. The record is from RNAcentral.